This 1214-nucleotide ribosomal RNA is filed under the name Pediococcus sp. DS-40. RNAcentral describes it as "bacterial SSU rRNA". It matches the Rfam family "Bacterial small subunit ribosomal RNA", at positions 65 to 1239 of the family's 1533-position model. The record is from RNAcentral. Lineage: Bacteria; Bacillati; Bacillota; Bacilli; Lactobacillales; Lactobacillaceae.
AACUUCCGUUAAUUGAUCAGGACGUGCUUGCACUGAAUGAGAUUUUAACACGAAGUGAGUGGCGGACGGGUGAGUAACACGUGGGUAACCUGCCCAGAAGCAGGGGAUAACACCUGGAAACAGAUGCUAAUACCGUAUAACAGAGAAAACCGCCUGGUUUUCUUUUAAAAGAUGGCUCUGCUAUCACUUCUGGAUGGACCCGCGGCGCAUUAGCUAGUUGGUGAGGUAACGGCUCACCAAGGCGAUGAUGCGUAGCCGACCUGAGAGGGUAAUCGGCCACAUUGGGACUGAGACACGGCCCAGACUCCUACGGGAGGCAGCAGUAGGGAAUCUUCCACAAUGGACGCAAGUCUGAUGGAGCAACGCCGCGUGAGUGAAGAAGGGUUUCGGCUCGUAAAGCUCUGUUGUUAAAGAAGAACGUGGGUGAGAGUAACUGUUCACCCAGUGACGGUAUUUAACCAGAAAGCCACGGCUAACUACGUGCCAGCAGCCGCGGUAAUACGUAGGUGGCAAGCGUUAUCCGGAUUUAUUGGGCGUAAAGCGAGCGCAGGCGGUCUUUUAAGUCUAAUGUGAAAGCCUUCGGCUCAACCGAAGAAGUGCAUUGGAAACUGGGAGACUUGAGUGCAGAAGAGGACAGUGGAACUCCAUGUGUAGCGGUGAAAUGCGUAGAUAUAUGGAAGAACACCAGUGGCGAAGGCGGCUGUCUGGUCUGUAACUGACGCUGAGGCUCGAAAGCAUGGGUAGCGAACAGGAUUAGAUACCCUGGUAGUCCAUGCCGUAAACGAUGAUUACUAAGUGUUGGAGGGUUUCCGCCCUUCAGUGCUGCAGCUAACGCAUUAAGUAAUCCGCCUGGGGAGUACGACCGCAAGGUUGAAACUCAAAAGAAUUGACGGGGGCCCGCACAAGCGGUGGAGCAUGUGGUUUAAUUCGAAGCUACGCGAAGAACCUUACCAGGUCUUGACAUCUUCUGCCAACCUAAGAGAUUAGGCGUUCCCUUCGGGGACAGAAUGACAGGUGGUGCAUGGUUGUCGUCAGCUCGUGUCGUGAGAUGUUGGGUUAAGUCCCGCAACGAGCGCAACCCUUAUUACUAGUUGCCAGCAUUCAGUUGGGCACUGUAGUGAGACUGCCGGUGACAAACCGGAGGAAGGUGGGGACGACGUCAAAUCAUCAUGCCCCUUAUGACCUGGGCUACACACGUGCUACAAUGGAUGGUA